RNAcentral lists this ribosomal RNA (886 nucleotides) under uncultured bacterium. Its description in RNAcentral is "bacterial SSU rRNA". It matches the Rfam family "Bacterial small subunit ribosomal RNA", at positions 539 to 1426 of the family's 1533-position model. The record is from RNAcentral.
CGUUAAUCGGAAUUACUGGGCGUAAAGCGCGCGUAGGCGGUUUAUUAAGUCAGAUGUGAAAUCCCCGGGCUCAACCUGGGAACUGCAUUUGAUACUGGUAGGCUAGAGUGUGGUAGAGGUGAGUGGAAUUUCAGGUGUAGCGGUGAAAUGCGUAGAGAUCUGAAGGAACAUCAGUGGCGAAGGCGACUCACUGGGCCAUUACUGACGCUGAGGUGCGAAAGCGUGGGUAGCAAACAGGAUUAGAUACCCUGGUAGUCCACGCCCUAAACGAUGUCAACUAGGUGUAUGGAAAUUUAAUUUCUGUGUAUCGAAGCUAACGCGAUAAGUUGACCGCCUGGGGAGUACGGUCGCAAGACUAAAACUCAAAUGAAUUGACGGGGGCCCGCACAAGCGGUGGAGCAUGUGGUUUAAUUCGAUGCAACGCGAAGAACCUUACCUGGCCUUGACAUGUACGGAAGACUUUAGAGAUAGAGUUGUGCCUUCGGGAACCGUAACACAGGUGCUGCAUGGCUGUCGUCAGCUCGUGUCGUGAGAUGUUGGGUUAAGUCCCGCAACGAGCGCAACCCCUGUCCUUAGUUGCCAUCAUUUAGUUGGGCACUCUAAGGAGACUGCCGGUGACAAACCGGAGGAAGGUGGGGAUGACGUCAAGUCAUCACGGCCCUUAUGGCCAGGGCUACACACGUGCUACAAUGGGCAGUACAAAGGGUUGCCAACUCGCGAGAGUGAGCUAAUCCCAUAAAGCUGUUCGUAGUCCGGAUCGCAGUCUGCAACUCGACUGCGUGAAGUCGGAAUCGCUAGUAAUCGCAGAUCAGAAUGCUGCGGUGAAUACGUUCCCGGGCCUUGUACACACCGCCCGUCACACCAUGGGAGUUGGUUGCACCAGAAG